UGAGGUAGUAGGUGGUAUGCUU
This 22-nucleotide microRNA is filed under the name Bos taurus (domestic cattle). RNAcentral's name for it is "partial bta-let7j miRNA". The record is from RNAcentral. Lineage: Eukaryota; Metazoa; Chordata; Mammalia; Artiodactyla; Bovidae.